GCUGGGUGUGGUGGCUCACACCUGUAAUCCUAGCACUCUGGGAGGCUGAAGUGGGUGGAUCACCUGAGGUCGGGAGUUCUAGACCAGCCUGGCCAUCAUGGUGAAACCCCAUCUUAAAAAAAAAAAAAGACAGGGUUUCACCAUGUUGGCCAGGCUGGUCUUGAACUCCCGACCUCAGGUGAUUUGCCUGCCUCGGU
RNAcentral lists this signal recognition particle RNA (197 nucleotides) under Callithrix jacchus (white-tufted-ear marmoset). RNAcentral's name for it is "Metazoan signal recognition particle RNA (ENSCJAG00000067900.2)". It matches the Rfam family "Metazoan signal recognition particle RNA". Rfam says of the family: The signal recognition particle (SRP) is a universally conserved ribonucleoprotein. The record is from RNAcentral. Lineage: Eukaryota; Metazoa; Chordata; Mammalia; Primates; Cebidae.